This 1006-nucleotide ribosomal RNA is filed under the name Penicillium polonicum. RNAcentral describes it as "SSU rRNA". It matches the Rfam family "Eukaryotic small subunit ribosomal RNA", at positions 86 to 1101 of the family's 1831-position model. Lineage: Eukaryota; Fungi; Ascomycota; Eurotiomycetes; Eurotiales; Aspergillaceae. The record is from RNAcentral.
ACUGCGAAUGGCUCAUUAAAUCAGUUAUCGUUUAUUUGAUAGUACCUUACUACAUGGAUACCUGUGGUAAUUCUAGAGCUAAUACAUGCUAAAAACCCCGACUUCAGGAAGGGGUGUAUUUAUUAGAUAAAAAACCAACGCCCUUCGGGGCUCCUUGGUGAAUCAUAAUAACUUAACGAAUCGCAUGGCCUUGCGCCGGCGAUGGUUCAUUCAAAUUUCUGCCCUAUCAACUUUCGAUGGUAGGAUAGUGGCCUACCAUGGUGGCAACGGGUAACGGGGAAUUAGGGUUCGAUUCCGGAGAGGGAGCCUGAGAAACGGCUACCACAUCCAAGGAAGGCAGCAGGCGCGCAAAUUACCCAAUCCCGAUACGGGGAGGUAGUGACAAUAAAUACUGAUACGGGGCUCUUUUGGGUCUCGUAAUUGGAAUGAGAACAAUUUAAAUCCCUUAACGAGGAACAAUUGGAGGGCAAGUCUGGUGCCAGCAGCCGCGGUAAUUCCAGCUCCAAUAGCGUAUAUUAAAGUUGUUGCAGUUAAAAAGCUCGUAGUUGAACCUUGGGCCUGGCUGGCCGGUCCGCCUCACCGCGAGUACUGGUCCGGCUGGGCCUUUCCUUCUGGGGAACCUCAUGGCCUUCACUGGCUGUGGGGGGAACCAGGACUUUUACUGUGAAAAAAUUAGAGUGUUCAAAGCAGGCCUUUGCUCGAAUACAUUAGCAUGGAAUAAUAGAAUAGGACGUGUGGUUCUAUUUUGUUGGUUUCUAGGACCGCCGUAAUGAUUAAUAGGGAUAGUCGGGGGCGUCAGUAUUCAGCUGUCAGAGGUGAAAUUCUUGGAUUUGCUGAAGACUAACUACUGCGAAAGCAUUCGCCAAGGAUGUUUUCAUUAAUCAGGGAACGAAAGUUAGGGGAUCGAAGACGAUCAGAUACCGUCGUAGUCUUAACCAUAAACUAUGCCGACUAGGGAUCGGACGGGAUUCUAUAAUGACCCGUUCGGCACCUUACGAGAAAUCAA